AAGGCAAAGAUGACAGCGGCCCUGCCCUACGGAGACGGUUGACACGCAUGCUCAUUUAGGUGAGACCGACUUCAUCCUAGGAAACUUUUCGGCGGGACAGUACAGUAGUCUAGUAACGAACCUGGACUCGAUCUACUACUGAACUAGGAUAUUGUGCUGUGUAAAUAAUUUGCAUUGAGGAGAGUCCAUCAGCUCACUAACACGGGUGAGGGACAGGGACCAAAGAGGAGGCUCUACAACAUGAGGAAAGACGGCGAUCCUCAAGCAGUCAGUCCAUGAGCCCACGUCUUCAGGCCAGGGGCCCGAGAGAAAUUUCCAGUGACAUGGAUCAACAGAGAUCCUCAAACAGUCAGUCCAUGUGCCACGUUCCAGCCAGGGACCAAAAGGGGGACUUUCGUCAUGGGGCCAGACAGACAUCCUCAAGCAGUAAGUUGAUUUACAUGGAUGCAUUCUGAAGUUGAAUUGAAGUAGUUAUAUUGUUGUACGCUGGCUACUAUUCAAUGUGUCAAAGUGAAAUGUAUUAAUUGUUGUCCCAUGAAAAAAUGAACUGUAUCAAAUCUCAAUGUAUCGUUCCAGGGAUAAGAGUUCAAGAAUGUUGUUGCAGGUGAAAUGAUCAUUGAAAUUUGCUGAUUCAAUGCCAUUUUUGUAUCUUUACUUUUUGGAGAAAUAGAGAGAUGCAUCCAGGCCACCCACUAGGAGGUGGGAAAUCGUACAAAGAGGUGGCUGUACCUGGCAGCAGACUGAGAUGGGGUGAGGAAGAGAAGCACAGACCAAGAACGGAAUGUCAGACAUUUGCCCUUUUUUAUGCCCAGCACACACAGACACACACACACACACACACACACACACACACACACACCAGCAUAUAAACAUGCACAUAGACACAGGCGCACGUGCACACACAUACACAGACUCUCAAACAAGAUGAGUCUCUGGUGAUGUUGGCAAAUAAUCUGAAUCGAUACACGCGGCAAUGAUUCCACCAUGGUGCCCCACCUACGCGAGUCCUGUCCUUCAGCAUUGACUUUCUCCCCAGGUGUGGUGUGCCUUCAUCCGAACCACAAUGGCAUCCCAAGCAGCAACAAAUACCUGCACGCAUGCAUGCUACGGUACACACACAAACACACUGGACUGUGAACUAGGUCAGACACACACACAUGCUCAAAGUAGCCAAGAUCGAAAAGGCUGCAUCGGUGGCUUGACUGCAUCCAUUUUUUGGAGGAACACCUUUGUCAAUUUGGAGGAACUUUAUUGUGGGAAGAUAUUUUAAAAUGUUGAUAGUCAGACUCUUGUAUACCCAUUCGCUUCACUUUGAUGUAUUUUGUAAUUGAGAUGAUUUAUGCCACAGUGCUGAAUUAACACAUCAUGACAAAGAUGUCGCCUUAAAAGGUAUGUUUGGUACCUGUGGGUCAAAUGUCUCAGGAGCUCCCUGACUGCAGAACGUCUCAGGAAAGGACUCAACUUUUUAUAUUGUAUGCCGGGUGCGAUUUGUCAGAAAACCAGAAAGGGGGAUGUGUUUCAGAUGUCAACAAUAUCAAUGGAGUUACAUUAAACUAUGAUUAAAAUCAUGUGGAAAAAGUGACAAUAUCAAAACCAGAAGAGGGGACAAUCUCCCUACAAACCGCACCCUGAUUGUAUGUAUUUUACAUGUUUGUACAUGAUUAAUACAUGUUCACAGAAGAAAAUACAAUGUACGACUGCAAGGUCUUGUGCGUUUUUCUCACCGAUAUCUUAAAGGUUUAUGCGUUACAAAAUGUUUAUUAUUUUGUUUAUUUUCUGAACUUUUUUUUUAAUAACUCAAAUGGAUAUGUUAAGAAACGUGUUUAUCUUCUGGUUUGUUUUUUGGAAAAUUCCAUUUAAAACAUGAAGGGAUAUUUUAAGAAAGGCUGUGAGUUUAAAAAAAAUGCAUUUUGAUCAUUUUGUUUUCUUGUUUAAAAUGUCAUACAUUUUCAAUUUCCAAAAUCUAUUGAAUGGAUGUAUGUUGUAGCCUACUAAAGAUAAUAAAUGGCCAAUUUGCAUGAU
Molecule: long non-coding RNA, 2022 nt
Organism: Engraulis encrasicolus (European anchovy)
Lineage: Eukaryota; Metazoa; Chordata; Actinopteri; Clupeiformes; Engraulidae
Exons: 4
Source: RefSeq, a predicted model, not a curated record